CCUACGGGUGUCAGCAGUGAGGAAUAUUGGUCAAUGGGCGGGAGCCUGAACCAGCCAAGUCGCGUGAGGGAAGAAGGUACUGAGUAUUUUAAACCUCUUUUGCCAGGGGACAAAGGCGGCCACGGGUGGCCGUACGCGGGUACCUUGCGAACAAGCAUCGGCUAACUCCGUGCCAGCCGCCGCGGUAAUACGGAGGAUGCGAGCGUUAUCCGGAUUUAUUGGGUUUAAAGGGUGCGCAGGCGGCGGGUCAAGUCAGCGGUAAAAUGUCGGGGCUCAACCCCGGCCGGCCGUUGAAACUGGCGUGCUCGAGUGGGAGAGAAGUAUGCGGAAUUCGUGGUGUAGCGGUGAAAUGCUGAGAUAUCACGAAGAACUCCGAUUGCGAAGGCAGCUCACUGGACUGCAACUGACACUGAGGCUCGAAAGUGUGGGUAUCAAACAGGAUUAGAUACCCCGGUAGUC
This 459-nucleotide ribosomal RNA is filed under the name uncultured bacterium. Its description in RNAcentral is "partial 16S ribosomal RNA". It matches the Rfam family "Bacterial small subunit ribosomal RNA", at positions 338 to 795 of the family's 1533-position model. The record is from RNAcentral.